AUGAUUAUUGUGUUUAAGCAACACAGCCAACUUAGUAGUACUAUGUAUUUAUUUCUCCGACAAGUAUUUUCGGACGGUAUGUAUUUAUUUCUUCGACUAUUUUGGGACGGAUGGAGUAUGUAUUUGUGUAUGCAUGGACGGAUGGAGUAUGUAUUUGUGCAUGCAUGUGGCAGCGUUCUUAAUCUAGAUUCCCAGUCAGAGCUUGGAUGGCGUCCCUCUGGGAUGGUGCACCACGAUGAGGCCGUAGGCAUCCAGUGUGAGGAAGUCGUCCAGCUCCGGCGCGACGCACUGCCGGAUGAAGACCCUGCCAGCCUCCGCGUAGCGCCCCCGGCGGAACCUCUCCGCGCCGACCUCUGCCUGGACCCUCGCCAUCUCCUCCUCCACGACGCGCGCGAGCAGCUCCGGCGUGGCUCGGACCGCCACGCCGCCGGCGUCGAGCACCGCGCCAUGGCGGAGCCACUGCCAGUUCUGCACGCGGCUGAUCUCCGCGGUGGCCGCGUCCUCCAUGAGGUUGUACAGCGGCACGGACCCGGACCCGCCCAGCCACGCCGCGAGGUACUGCACGCCGACCCGGGUGUUGAGCCGCAGCCCCUCCACCGUGCGCGUACCCCGCGGCGGCUGGAUCAGGUCCUCCUCCGUGAUGGCGUCGACGGGUGCCGCCGCGUCGAUCUGGUUAGACUUCCCUCCGAGGUGGCCCUCGAAGACCUCCCGGAUCGCCGGGAUGAGCCCUGGGUGCGCCGCCCACGUGCCGUCGUGCCCCGCGCGCACCUCCCUCAGCUUGUCCCUGCGCACCAGCUCCAGCGCCGCCUCGUUCGCCGCCGCGUCGUCCUUGAUCGGAAUCUGAGCCGCCUGUCAAAUUGA
Molecule: ribosomal RNA, 861 nt
Filed under: Triticum aestivum (bread wheat)
Lineage: Eukaryota; Viridiplantae; Streptophyta; Magnoliopsida; Poales; Poaceae
Description: partial small subunit ribosomal RNA
Source: RNAcentral